Molecule: transfer RNA, 82 nt
Filed under: Pseudobutyrivibrio ruminis DSM 9787
Lineage: Bacteria; Bacillati; Bacillota; Clostridia; Lachnospirales; Lachnospiraceae
Also listed under: 2 other names
Description: tRNA_Tyr_GTA
Rfam family: tRNA
About the family: Transfer RNA (tRNA) molecules are approximately 80 nucleotides in length. Their secondary structure includes four short double-helical elements and three loops (D, anti-codon, and T loops).
Source: RNAcentral
GGGUGGUUUCCCGAGUGGCCAAAGGGGACAGACUGUAAAUCUGCUGCUAAUUGCUUCGGUGGUUCGAAUCCACCACCACCCA